RNAcentral lists this transfer RNA (68 nucleotides) under Ephemera serica. RNAcentral describes it as "tRNA-Asp". The record is from RNAcentral. Lineage: Eukaryota; Metazoa; Arthropoda; Insecta; Ephemeroptera; Ephemeridae.
AAAAGAUUAGUUAAAUUAAUAACCUUAGUAUGUCAUACUAAAAUUAUUGAAUAAUUCAAUAUCUUUUA